AGCAAUACCUGGCAGGGAAGAUACCAUGAUCAUGAAGGUGGUUUUCCCAGGGUGAGGAUCAUCUAUUGCACUCCAGAUGUGCAGACCCCUGCGAUUUCCCCAAAUGUGGGAAAUUCAACUGCAUAAUUUGUGGUAGUGGGGUG
Fukomys damarensis (Damara mole-rat) is the source of this 143-nucleotide non-coding RNA. The record is from Rfam. Lineage: Eukaryota; Metazoa; Chordata; Mammalia; Rodentia; Bathyergidae.